CAUGCAGGCGGUUAGACAAGUCAGAUGUGAAAUCCCCGCGCUUAACGUGGGCAUUGCAUUUUAAACUGUUUAGCUAGAGUUCUGUAGAGGGGGGUAGAAUUCCAGGUGUAGCGGUGAAAUGCGUAGAGAUGUGGAGGAACACCAGUGGCGAAGGCGGCUUUCUGGUCUGUAACUGACGCUGAGGCGCGAAAGCGUGGGGAGCAAACAGGAUUAGAUACCCUGGUA
RNAcentral lists this ribosomal RNA (225 nucleotides) under uncultured Thorsellia sp. RNAcentral describes it as "partial 16S ribosomal RNA". It matches the Rfam family "Bacterial small subunit ribosomal RNA", at positions 568 to 792 of the family's 1533-position model. Lineage: Bacteria; Pseudomonadati; Pseudomonadota; Gammaproteobacteria; Enterobacterales; Thorselliaceae. The record is from RNAcentral.